GGGAGAAGCAGCCAUUCUUGUGACAUCUGCGUAUCGGCUCCGUGGCAUUGCCAGCCCUUCAGCUACUCAAGCACUCUCCGCUGUCAGGCACGUUAACAAAACAGCAGGAAUUGGACUACAUAAUAAGAAUUUAAUGUCAGCUUCUGGAAGGUUGAUUAGGAUAGACUGAGUACAAGAUGUCAGUUACAGUAACCAUCACAGUACUCUAAAAAAGGACAGGUCUUUCUAACCUGUUGCAGCAGAAGACAUCAGAAAAACUCUUAAGACUGUGCAUUUAUCAGACUUCAGCUUCUAAUUUCUCUGAGUACAAUGCCAAGAUCCAUUCCUCAUAUGUCUCUUUUCUGUGGAUUUCCUAAGGAGUUAGCAGUUUAGUGGGAAAGUUCUGAAUUGGGAAACAUGUCCGCAAAUGAAUCACCUCCUCUAAUGCAAUGCUACAGUGCUAAAAUGUUUUUGGUAAGUAGAAACUUAAUACACUGGCACAGAGAAUUAGUAAGAGUAACAAAGAGUAACAAACAAUGUAAGGUAAUAAAUAAUAUCUAAAAAACAGUAGAAAGUGGCCCUUUAAUGUCAGAAAAGGACCUGAGCUAUGCAUUUUUAUAUUAUAUUUUAGUUUAAAACUCAGUCCGCAUGAUUCCUUUGAUUUUGUACUUGCUUUCAACUGCAAUCUUUCUAUAACAUGCUUACAGGUUUAGACAACUUUCUGCCACUUUCUGCACACUUUGGUUUGGCAAGGCUUUAAAAAUAUGUAAAGACUUCUAAAUGUAGCAUGUAUUAAUCUCAGGUGCACCACUACUAACAUUAGGGUUCAUGCCCUGGGUGUCCUGCUUUUGACACUACUGAUGUGAGCCCUGUGACCAUCUCCAGAGCUCACUGAGUGAACACUGGUAUUUUGGGAGCUUAAUGAUGGACCUGGAGACUCCUCUUCUUUGUGGAUCAGGAAGAAAGUGAUUGCUGGGAAGAAACAGACCUUCCCGGCAUGUGGUCAGACUGGAUGGUCACAUUGGUCACUUCUGGCUUUAUAAUACAUUAGUCUAGUGGUCA
This is a long non-coding RNA of Dermochelys coriacea (leatherback sea turtle), 1041 nucleotides long. RefSeq lists it as uncharacterized. The transcript is spliced from 3 exons. The record is from RefSeq and is a predicted model, not a curated record. Lineage: Eukaryota; Metazoa; Chordata; Testudines; Dermochelyidae.